CAGUAGCCACGGUAAUACGAAGGGUGCAAGCGUUACUCGGAAUUACUGGGCGUAAAGCGUGCGUAGGCGGCUUUUUAAGUCGGAUGUGAAAUCCCUGAGCUUAACUUAGGAAUUGCAUUCGAUACUGGGAAGCUAGAGUAUGGGAGAGGAUGGUAGAAUUCCAGGUGUAGCGGUGAAAUGCGUAGAGAUCUGGAGGAAUACCGAUGGCGAAGGCAGCCAUCUGGCCUAAUACUGACGCUGAGGUACGAAAGCAUGGGGAGCAAACAGGAUUAGAUACCCGGGUAGUCCCUGUCUCUUAUAA
This 301-nucleotide ribosomal RNA is filed under the name uncultured bacterium. RNAcentral describes it as "partial 16S ribosomal RNA". It matches the Rfam family "Bacterial small subunit ribosomal RNA", at positions 509 to 809 of the family's 1533-position model. The record is from RNAcentral.